UAAGACCAGAAGGAACAGGGAUACCUACAUCUAUGCUUUUCCUCCCUGGAAUGCAAAAGCAUACUCAGGCCUGUCAUGCCUUAAAUGAGUCUGUAAUUGCCCAAUUUUCUUGUUGCUGGUGGUGUUCCAGCUCUUAUAACAUCCAAUAUUACUUAAUGAGGUGCGGGCUGUUUAGCUGUUUUUCCCAGUUCCUACAGUACCCAAUGCAACAGAAGAAAGGUAACAGCUUAUUCUCCCCCUCCAGCUUUGUCUAUCUCCAGAGUCAGGCAUUAGGAGAACAACCAACCCGCUCAGAGCCAUACACAUGCUACAGAAUGAGAAUGUCUUUUUAAGGAAGUCCCAGAGGUCCUAUAUGAGGUUUCUUCACAAAAGAUGUGAAACUGAUGUAAAAUAAAUCAAGAAAUCCUUUCUUAGUAUAGCUGAAAUGCUAAGGCUAGAGGAUGGUAAAUCACCAAGUCUCUCAAAAGAAUAUGAAGCUCCUCUUGAGUUAUGGUGAAAGCAGUGGAUAACUGGGCUGCCUCAUCAUCUAUUCCCCCACAUUUCAAAACAUUUUAGCACGAAUAUAUCCUACUUUGCACGUAGUACAGAAAAUCCUGCCAACUCUUAUGGAAGAGGGCCAGCCUAUUCUUAUUCAUGCAAGUAGGUGUGAAACAACAUCCAAGCUGAUUACUUUAUCAAGUUGUGAUUGCCGCCUUUCCAUCAAGAACUCUGCAGGUGUUUUUUCAGUGCUGCCAGUGUGGCAAGCAAGCUGCAAUAUGGGUAGAGCUGGUGGAGGGCUCUAACGGAGUGAAAGCCCCGUGCUGUCCGGGUGUCCUGCAUGUUUGACCUUCCUCUGCGUGCUGCGCUCCAGGCAAAACCCAGCAGCGGGCCAAGCAAGGAAGGAAGGAAAGUCCUCUAAGUUGCCCAUGCAGUGAGACGGCCGCCAGUCCCUGUUCGUGUCUUCCCAUCCCUGAGCCUGGCCAUGAACUGGCAUGCUUUGUGGACGGAACUGGAUACAUGCUGGAAAAAAACCUGGCUUCA
Cygnus olor (mute swan) is the source of this 1020-nucleotide long non-coding RNA. RefSeq lists it as uncharacterized. The record is from RefSeq and is a predicted model, not a curated record. The transcript is spliced from 4 exons. Lineage: Eukaryota; Metazoa; Chordata; Aves; Anseriformes; Anatidae.